GUAAAACUUUCAGCGACGGAUGUCUUGGCUCCCACAACGAUGAAGAACGCAGCGAAAUGCGAUACGUCUUGCGACUUGCAGAAUCCAGUGAAUCAUCAAAACUUUGAACGCA
RNAcentral lists this ribosomal RNA (112 nucleotides) under Planosiphon zosterifolius. RNAcentral describes it as "Petalonia zosterifolia 5.8S ribosomal RNA". It matches the Rfam family "5.8S ribosomal RNA", at positions 1 to 108 of the family's 154-position model. Rfam says of the family: 5.8S ribosomal RNA (5.8S rRNA) is a component of the large subunit of the eukaryotic ribosome. Lineage: Eukaryota; Phaeophyceae; Ectocarpales; Scytosiphonaceae. The record is from RNAcentral.